Molecule: long non-coding RNA, 2081 nt
Organism: Lolium perenne
Lineage: Eukaryota; Viridiplantae; Streptophyta; Magnoliopsida; Poales; Poaceae
Source: RefSeq, a predicted model, not a curated record
CAUAUUUUUGGAUUCAAAUUCGUAACCGGUAAUUGUCUGAUCGCUCCGAAUGAACUGUGAAAAUAUGGCAUAGGAUAUGAUAGCAGUAAAAUCCAAUCUGACCCACCCUGUUUACAUUCCUACCCAUAGCUAUAUUGGUGGGCCGUAACUACAUCUUCGAUCUAAAUAUUAGCAGGCCUGUCGGGAUUUGGCAUUUUGGUACUGCCGAUUUUUUUUUUUUUUGAGAAGACGCGCUGCCGAUCUUAUCGGUUAACUCAUGGGCGAAGAGGAGCGGAGCAAUCUGCAUCAACUCGUAUGUUCCUUUCUCUCUGGUAGAAGCAAAUUUUCUUUCUCUCAAAAAAAAAAAAAGCAAAUUUUCUUUGCACGUGGCAAUCUUGCCUCUCCACCGCGACACUGCCUACCCACUCUCGUUCCUCCCUUGCUAGCUCUCACUUUGGAUUACAGCCCGUGACCGGCAUCCUCCCUGCCCAAAUCCAUUGAGAAGCCGGUUCCCAUAAACUGCCGAUUUCAUGGAACGUUGUCUUUCGCCUUCAUAUCAGUCUAAUGAGGCUUCCAAGAGGUUGCUGAAUUCGUUCCUUGUAUUAUCGUCCCUUCUUUAAUACGUAGUACUAAUGAGAAGGCAAGACUCCAGCACGACUGAACUGGCGAGCUGAAUCGGCGAGUCCCCGCCGGCCGCCGCCCCCAGCUCCCCUGCCGACCUAGCAUCCGGCGACCUUCGGCCCGGCAGCCGUCGACCAGGGGCACCAGAGCAGUGAGCUCACAACCCGCCAAAGCGGCGACCCAACCCGCGCCGGACCCCGUCGCCCCCGUCCCCGACGACCAGUAGGCAGUAGCUGAGCAGCAGCGACCCGACGGCUCCACGCCUUCACUGGUCAACCUCUCCAACUGGAUCUCUCCUUUCAUCCUUCGAUUCUUGGCAAGUGAUUUGACAAAAUUCCUGUUAAGUAGUUGAUUGAAUUGAGAGCUAGAACUUCGGAAUAGGACUGAAAAUGGGGAAAAAGGGCAAUAUUGCAUCGUUCUUCAAAAGACAAAGAGCAUAGCCAGUUGAGGAAGAUACUCCCCCCACCACCAGAUUUGAGAGCCUUGUUCCAGCAAAAAUAUUUUAGCAAAACGUGGUUUUGAUGUACUCUUGGUUCACAGAUUUGAGAAAUUGAAGAAGGUGAAUGAUGGGAAAUCCUAUGCAUUAUUAGGCCAUGUAGGUUGGACCUUGCUCACCGCAUAACAAUGCAAUCACAUAAUGUAGAGCCUUGAUGUAUCAACCAGGCCAUAUAGGUAAUGUUGUAGCAGCAAAGGACAAGGAAAAGGUAGAAAGGAAUCGCCCAAGGCUUAAAGCCUAAGUUGCAGCUGUCCGGUGGCUCACAUUUCUGUUGUCCAAAUUUUGUUUGGUCUUUCACACACUCCCAAUUUUAUCUUCAAGCUCCGCCACUGGGCAAGAGGCUAUCGUGGGCAAAGCCGCUGGAAGAGGAGGUGAUGUUAUCUUGCUACAACUGUGUUGGUAGCAGAGGAAAUAAUAUGCGAAGUCAGAAGGAUCAUAUCAUGGAAUCAAAUGCGGCGAUAGCUUUCAAAGACAUCUCCUGUUAUUUUUUACAGGUUGACAUCAUCUGGUUGUGUUCAGUAACAAACAAUAUAGGCAAGGGAAUUCAGGGAGCGACAAAACUCUUUGUCAAGCAGAAGCAAAAUGCACAGCACAGAAAUUGCUCUCGAAAGAUAAGAUUGAAGUAACCGAGAUCAAUAUCGGUAAGCACCAGAAGGUGAAUUAAGUUGAUCCGCUACCAACUUGACCUGGACGAAGUUUAUUUUGUGAAGGUGAGGAUUUGGUGUGCCACCAGCUGGUAUGUCUCUUUUUCUGCAGCUAGCACAGUUCAAGUUUCCUUCGCGCAUGCUAACUGAUCACAUCAAUUAGUUUUUAUAGCAAGCGUACAGUACCCCCACAGUACAUCACCAAGAGUCUAAUAUGGUGAAGGUUUCAUGUAAGUUAGAGCAGUCAUGGUACAAUAAGAAAAAAAAAAUGUUUCAGAGCAAAGUCAAGAAGGUAAAGGCUAAAUAUAAGGGAAAAUGCAAACUCAUGCUAGGCUCAAGUU